GAUGAAGAACGUAGCGAAAUGCGAAGAGUAGUGUGAAUUGCAGAAUUCAGUGAAUCAUCGAAUCUUUGAACGCACAUUGCGCCCCCUGGUAUUCCGGGGGGCAUGCCUGUCCGAGCGUCAUUACAACCCUCAAGCUCAGCUUGGUGUUGGGCCCCGCCGCCCCGGCGGGCCCUAAAGUCAGUGGCGGUGCCGUCCGGCUCCGAGCGUAGUAAUUCUUCUCGCUCUGGAGGUCCGGUCGUGUGCUCGCCAGCAACCCCCAAUUUUUUUCAGGUUGACCUCGGAUCAGGUAGGGAUACCCGCUGAACUUAAGCAUAUCAAUAAGCGGAGGA
RNAcentral lists this unclassified non-coding RNA (329 nucleotides) under soil metagenome. Its description in RNAcentral is "partial contains 5.8S ribosomal RNA, internal transcribed spacer 2, and large subunit ribosomal RNA". The stretch from base 1 to 120 matches the Rfam family "5.8S ribosomal RNA", at positions 35 to 154 of the family's 154-position model. The record is from RNAcentral.